GGCCCCGUAGUUCAAUGGAUAGAAUAGAAGUUUCCUAAACUUUAGAUGCAAGUUCGAUUCUUGCCGGGGCCA
RNAcentral lists this transfer RNA (72 nucleotides) under Flagellimonas marinaquae. Its description in RNAcentral is "tRNA-Arg". It matches the Rfam family "tRNA". From Rfam's summary of the family: Transfer RNA (tRNA) molecules are approximately 80 nucleotides in length. Their secondary structure includes four short double-helical elements and three loops (D, anti-codon, and T loops). The record is from RNAcentral. RNAcentral also lists the same sequence under 5 other names. Lineage: Bacteria; Pseudomonadati; Bacteroidota; Flavobacteriia; Flavobacteriales; Flavobacteriaceae.